Molecule: long non-coding RNA, 315 nt
Organism: Prinia subflava (tawny-flanked prinia)
Lineage: Eukaryota; Metazoa; Chordata; Aves; Passeriformes; Cisticolidae
Exons: 3
Source: RefSeq, a predicted model, not a curated record
CAGCGCUCGGCGCCGCCGCGCUGCCGGGCCCUGCGCGGGGAACGAGAGCCGUGAGCGCACCGAGGGACCCGCUGGGAGCGCCGCAGCCGCCCCGCUCCACAGCCCCUUCCCAGGGAGCGCACUGCUGGAUCACCAGGCAACUUUAUAUGCACAGGAAAGGCUUCAGUGAGGCUGACAUGCACAGUGGAAGACUCCUGCAGCUUUAAGGAAAACCAAUCAGCCAUCCAGUAACUGGAAUUCACAGGACCUUGAAAGUAUACAUCCUGGCUUGAAACCGCAGUAGCGGCACUUAUCAACCCCCUGGACCUGGCACUG